GUCGUACAGGUCUCCGUUGGUGACCAGCGGAGGGAUCAUUACCGAGUUUACAACUCCCAAACCCCUGUGAACAUACCAAUUGUUGCCUCGGCGGAUCAGCCCGCUCCCGGUAAAACGGGACGGCCCGCCAGAGGACCCCUAAACUCUGUUUCUAUAUGUAACUUCUGAGUAAAACCAUAAAUAAAUCAAAACUUUCAACAACGGAUCUCUUGGUUCUGGGCAUCGAUGAAGAACGCAGCAAAAUGCGAUAAGUAAUGUGAAUUGCAGAAUUCAGUGAAUCAUCGAAUCUUUGAACGCACAUUGCGCCCGCCAGUAUUCUGGCGGGCAUGCCUGUUCGANCGUCAUUUCAACCCUCAAGCCCAGCUUGGGGUUGGGACUCGCGAGUCAAAUCNCGUUCCCCAAAUUGAUUGGCGGUCACGUCGAGCUUCCAUAGCGUAGUAGUAAAACCCUCGUUACUGGUAAUCGUCGCGGCCACCCCGUUAAACCCCAACUUCUGAAUGUUGACCUCGGAUCAGGNAGGAAUACCCGCUGANCUNAAGCAUAUCA
Molecule: ribosomal RNA, 546 nt
Filed under: uncultured fungus
Lineage: Eukaryota; Fungi
Description: eukaryotic LSU rRNA
Rfam family: 5.8S ribosomal RNA (bases 190-344)
Source: RNAcentral